RNAcentral lists this ribosomal RNA (522 nucleotides) under Triticum aestivum (bread wheat). Its description in RNAcentral is "partial small subunit ribosomal RNA". Lineage: Eukaryota; Viridiplantae; Streptophyta; Magnoliopsida; Poales; Poaceae. The record is from RNAcentral.
GUUGUGGAUAAACGGAUGAAGCUUCUAGUUCAGGCAACAUCGCUGAUAGAUGUGCUUCAAGCCUGGAUCCUGUUGGUCCAUAAGAGAGCUGUUCGUCUGAAUGAGAAACCUCACAUCCGGUAUGAUUUGAUGUUGGAUCAAGAGAGGAUAGCGAAUCUAAACUUCAUCUACAACUGCAACGACACAUAGGCUCUAUGGAUGCUUUGAAUCAAAAGAACACCUUUCGCCAGGCCUGUGCAGAUGUUUAGGAGCGGGCUGCUACAAGAUAGCAUUCACAUCACUGUGGAAGAGCAAGUGCCCAUGUUCCUCCAUGUUGUUGGUCAUAACCAGAGGUUCAGGGUUGUACAGAACACCUUCACGAGAUCAAUGGAGACCAUCUCCAGGUACUUCAAGCAAGUGUUGUAUGAUGUUGGGGAGAUCAGGGGAGAGAUGAUCAUGUCACCAACCGGCCAGACUCCUACCUGGAUUCCCACUAGCCCAAGAUGGUAUCCAUACUUCAAGGUGAGCACUUACAGUAUGUAG